Molecule: ribosomal RNA, 34 nt
Filed under: Trichoderma inhamatum
Lineage: Eukaryota; Fungi; Ascomycota; Sordariomycetes; Hypocreales; Hypocreaceae
Description: partial 18S ribosomal RNA
Source: RNAcentral
CUUUCCUCGACGGUGAACCUUGGGGGGAUACAUA